UAUCACUAGCAAAAUUGCUGUUUUAUAGAAAUUAUGUUAAGAUAAUUUUCUAAGCUGUAUAUCUGGUCGACUGACAGAUUUCUGGACGCGGGUUCAACUCCCGCCGUCUCCACCAAUAGGGCAUUUCCCCGUGCAGGUUUAGGCAUGGCGAUGUUACUUUAGAGUGUCUUAUUGAUGGGGACGUAUUGGUUUCGACAGGGAUAAAUAGGAAGAUUGGCAGCCGGUAGGCGAUGACCGUAAAUCAAGCAAUGUUAUAACUGCAAAUGACGAAAAAUUUGCUUUAGCCGCCUAAUUAACAGGCCGCUAGGAGAGUGAUUCACUUGGCAACAGAACGAAUCAAGGCAGCUUCGGCUGCCUUUUUA
This 362-nucleotide transfer-messenger RNA is filed under the name Pelistega europaea. RNAcentral's name for it is "Betaproteobacteria transfer-messenger RNA". It matches the Rfam family "Betaproteobacteria transfer-messenger RNA". From Rfam's summary of the family: Bacterial tmRNA, also known as 10Sa RNA or SsrA, is named for its dual tRNA and mRNA-like properties. Lineage: Bacteria; Pseudomonadati; Pseudomonadota; Betaproteobacteria; Burkholderiales; Alcaligenaceae. The record is from Rfam by way of RNAcentral.